AAUGGGCGCAAGCCUGAUCCAGCCAUUCCGCGUGCAGGAUGAAGGCCUUCGGGUUGUAAACUGCUUUUGUACGGAACGAAACGGUUCUCUCUAAUACAGGGGGCUAAUGACGGUACCGUAAGAAUAAGCACCGGCUAACUACGUGCCAGCAGCCGCGGUAAUACGUAGGGUGCAAGCGUUAAUCGGAAUUACUGGGCGUAAAGCGUGCGCAGGCGGUUUUGUAAGACAGAGGUGAAAUCCCCGGGCUCAACCUGGGAACUGCCUUUGUGACUGCAAGGCUGGAGUACGGCAGAGGGGGAUGGAAUUCCGCGUGUAGCAGUGAAAUGCGUAGAUAUGCGGAGGAACACCGAUGGCGAAGGCAAUCCCCUGGGCCUGUACUGACGCUCAUGCACGAAAGCGUGGGGAGCAAA
Molecule: ribosomal RNA, 410 nt
Filed under: uncultured bacterium
Lineage: Bacteria
Description: bacterial SSU rRNA
Rfam family: Bacterial small subunit ribosomal RNA
Source: RNAcentral